AUGGCACACAUUAAAGGUGUUUUUAAGGAAGGUGAGGAUAGCCAGAUGAAGCUGAAGAAAGAGUUGAAGGUCGAGAUUCAAGCUGGUGAAGCCCGAGUCAUUGCUCAAGUUGAUUCUAUGAAGGCUAUUAUUGAGAACCUUGGUAGAUCUAAUAUCAUCUUUCCUAUUAGUACUUUUGAACGUGAUUCAGAGCCCAAUGACCUUAAUUUUGCAGCAGUUGCACCUCCUCUUACUAAAGCAACUAGCCUUCCUUGA
This is a non-coding RNA of Vicia faba (fava bean), 255 nucleotides long. Lineage: Eukaryota; Viridiplantae; Streptophyta; Magnoliopsida; Fabales; Fabaceae. The record is from the annotation of a GenBank genome assembly.